This is a long non-coding RNA of Polyodon spathula (Mississippi paddlefish), 885 nucleotides long. RefSeq lists it as uncharacterized. The transcript is spliced from 4 exons. The record is from RefSeq and is a predicted model, not a curated record. NCBI's taxonomy places the organism in Eukaryota, Metazoa, Chordata, Actinopteri, Acipenseriformes, Polyodontidae.
AACCCCAAUUUGAAUACUGCUCACUUUUGAAUCAUUCUUUUGUCUGUUCACCCACAGGUUGAGAUUUUUGGUAAAGAAGUGGCAGAAAGGCACCAAAAAAGGUCAGAUCCAGGUUGUUGCUGUGAAUGGAAGCACACACAGUGAAGUUUUAAGGCAGCACCCUGGAUUUACCUUUAACUCUCCUCUGACUCGAGAAGCUGAAAUUCUCCACAGAAGUGCCUUUACACACAUGCAUCAGCCCCCUAAAUCACCUUACAGGCUCCACAACAGGUCUUGCCACUCUCCUGGCCCAUCGCGAUCAUUCACCUUUCAGGACUCUCUGGCUGACUACAUUCACCAUUUAGAAGUGGUCCAGCAGCAGUUAGGAGGCCUUUCAUCAGGGCCCUCCACAGGACCGUCUUACAGCAGAACUUCCAAAAGAUGAAAGAACUUUUAUUAUGAAGAAUCAGCACUGAAUCUGACCUUUCCCUUGCUGUCUGUUACUGUAAAUGUAAUAUAUACACAAGAGGUUUUAAUAGUAGUGAUGGGCAAAUAUAUUUUUAUACAGUAUAUGCAAUAAUCACAUUUUUGAAAUGUUUUAUUUGUAAGCACUGAAGUUUCAGUUAUGUCCACAAGGGAGGGAGGAGACUGGGAGACUCACUUUCACCUUUUAAACGUGUGUGUUGUAUGGAGCAAAUUUAUGCACGUUAUCAUUUUGUGCUAAUUUAAUACUUUCACUGUUUUUAUGAGUGAUCUGCUGGUUGGUACACUUUUAUAUAUACUGUAUUUGUUUGCAAUGUUGUUCUUUUUAAGCAAAAAUUCUUGAAGUGUCGAUGAGGUGUAAACCAUUCUUAAAUGUUGUUUUUAUGUCCAUGUUCUUUCUACAAAGCAAAUAAAUAUUUUUAA